AAUUAAAGUAGAGGUGCGAAGUUAAAGAGUAUCCGGUUUGAUGUAUAUGGAGCAUUUGAGAGCCGGGGAAAGGGAAGUUCGCCGAAGGGUAUGUCAGCCCAUAAUGAUAUAUUCUGGUUGUGCAGUUAAGAGCUGUAUGACUGUCAUCGUAAGAUGGAGAGCUACUUAAUAG
Regulatory RNA element from Coprococcus sp. CAG:782, 172 nucleotides. It matches the Rfam family "Lysine riboswitch aptamer". From Rfam's summary of the family: Riboswitches are metabolite binding domains within certain messenger RNAs that serve as precision sensors for their corresponding targets. Allosteric rearrangement of mRNA structure is mediated by ligand binding, and this results in modulation of gene expression. Lineage: Bacteria; Bacillati; Bacillota; Clostridia; Lachnospirales; Lachnospiraceae. The record is from Rfam.